This 754-nucleotide long non-coding RNA is filed under the name Olea europaea (common olive). RNAcentral describes it as "long non-coding RNA (OEUR_LNC008772)". Lineage: Eukaryota; Viridiplantae; Streptophyta; Magnoliopsida; Lamiales; Oleaceae. The record is from RNAcentral.
ACAGAUUACCAAUUGUGACAUUGGUUAACUAGGAAAACAGUAUGUUGCUUUGAAGUCUAUCUUGGUAGUCUAUCACGAUCUUUUAAUGUUUUCAUGUGGCAUGCUGAUUCCUCGCUACCAUCAUCUCUAAAGGAAAUAACCUAAUCUUGGAUCACUGUGUUGGCACAGAUUACCAAUUGUGAUAUUGGUUAACUAGGAAAAUAGUAUGUUGCUUUGAAGUCUAUCUUGAUAGUAUUUUUUGAGGUCAGUAUGUGUUGCACCUAACUGCAUGCUCUUAAGUAUAAUAUUUUUUCAAUUUAUAGUGAUUGGAUUCAUCAUGUUCUUUUAUUUUUGUCAAACUAAUUCAAAGUGUAUUGUUCAAUUUCUUUUUGCAGAAUUUGUGUGUAAGCAUCAUGAAGGAUAUUGCAUUUCAUGGAUAUACCACUCCUUCCAUCGAGGCCCAAAGCCAUUCAAAUUACUUUGAGUGGGCAGGAUCUGUUAGGUUGUGCGAAAACUGGUAGUGGUAAAUCUGCUGCAUUCACCAUACUUACGAUACAAGCUUUGGUUUUUGCUUCCACUUUUAGUUUUGUCAAGAAUUUUAUUUAGACAUGUAACCCUAUAUGGAUAUUCACUUUAUUUUCUUGUUUUAUUAUAACUCACCAUAUAUUUUUUUUUCAUCCUUGUACGUUACCUGGCUCAACCAGCGUCCUGCUCAGAGUGGAGAUCGACCUUUGGCAUUAUUAUUGGCUCCUACGAGAGAGCUAGUGCAACAAAU